CCUACGGGGGGCACCAGUAGGGAAUCUUCGGCAAUGGACGAAAGUCAGACCGAGCAACGCCGCGUGAGUGAAGAAGGUUUUCGAAUCGUAAAACUCUGUUGGUAGAGAAGAACGUUGGUCAGAGUGGAAAGCUCAUCAAGUGACGGUAACUACCCAGAAAGGGACGGCUAACUACGUGCCAGCAGCCGCGGUAAUACGUAGGUCCCGAGCGUUGUCCGGAUUUAUUGGGCGUAAAGCGAGCGCAGGUGGUUUAUUAAGUCUGGUGUAAAAGGCAGUGGCUCAACCAUUGUAUGCAUUGGAAGCUGGUAGACUUGAGUGCAGGAGAGGAGAGUGGAAUUCCAUGUGUAGCGGUGAAAUGCGUAGAUAUAUGGAGGAACACCGGUGGCGAACGCGGCUCUCUGGCCUGUAACUGACACUGAGGCUCGAAAGCGUGGGGAGCAAACAGGAUUAGAUUCCCUAGUAGUC
Molecule: ribosomal RNA, 465 nt
Filed under: uncultured bacterium
Lineage: Bacteria
Description: bacterial SSU rRNA
Rfam family: Bacterial small subunit ribosomal RNA
Source: RNAcentral